GCCUUCGUGGUGUAGUGGUCAGCACAGAUGACACGUAACCGAGAGGUCCGUGGUUCGAUUCCCGGCGAAGGCG
Molecule: transfer RNA, 73 nt
Filed under: Stegodyphus mimosarum
Lineage: Eukaryota; Metazoa; Arthropoda; Arachnida; Araneae; Eresidae
Rfam family: tRNA
About the family: Transfer RNA (tRNA) molecules are approximately 80 nucleotides in length. Their secondary structure includes four short double-helical elements and three loops (D, anti-codon, and T loops).
Source: Rfam by way of RNAcentral